UUUUUUUUCUUUCGGGCUUGUUAGUAAACCCCCCUUGUACCCCCUGUAUUCCACCCGAAUCCACUCAUCUCCCGCAUCGGCGAUGAUACAGAGAACCCGGCGAGCCUCGGCUCCGCCGACGACGGCGAGCCCGCGCCCCGACAGCGCUGCUCCCCCGUCUCCAGGACUGCCACCUCGCCGCACCUCCGCGCGGCGGGCCCGAGGCAGCGGCCGCGCGGGCGCCCCGGCGGAGGCGCUGGUGCGCCGCUCGGUCGUCGAGCCGUGCCUCACCUGCGGGAUCUGCGGCGGCCUCCUCAGCGACGCCACCGCCUUCUCCGAGUGCCUCGAUGCCUUUUGCAGGAAAUGCAUAUAUGAUAAGUUGGCGAAGGAGAAUAUAAAGUGCUGCCCUACUUGCGGCAUUCAUUUGGGCCGUGCUCCAUUGGAGAAGCUCAGACCUGAUCAUAGCCUGCAACACAUCAGGUCAGUGAUAUUUCCUGCUAAGAGACGCAAGGUUGCCACCAUCAAGAAGAGGAAGGAAAAGGUUUCCGCUGAAUCAAUCCUUUCUUCAGUGGUGGAUAUCGUUGCAGAAGGAAGAACUGCACCACUGGCACCUGCUGCUUCACAAAUAGAGGCACAGAAGAUAGAGGUUGAGGUGAUCGAUGAGGCUGAUGAGGCUUUGGUAGCUCAGGAAACAGUUUAUGAGUCUUCUAUCUUGAAUCUUGCUCCUGUUGGAAGAGAUGUUUUGUCGCGAAUUAGGUGUCGAGACUUUUACUCAGCAUGCCAUCUUUCUGCGGAGACUGGAGCCUUGAUUGUGUGGCAACCACCACCUAUCCCAGAGGAGAUGGUUGACCAUGAUCAGUUAGCCCCCAGGCAGGACCCACAGACUUUUGGGCCUCCAGCGUACUUUGAUACUGAGUACCAGCGACAAGUACCAGCUGUACAGAUUACCGAUACUUCGGUUGUGGCAGGCAGCUCAUUCCAUGCUAGGAUGACUGUCCAGGAUGAUGAUAACCUGAGGGGAGAUAUUCUCGCAUUUUUCAAUGAGAGUACUGCAAGAAUCAUGGGGAGGUAUGAUGCUCACAUAAGCCAAUUAAAGGCAGAGAACUCAAAAUUACUAGAGCAAUUGGAAAAUGAAAGAGCUGCUGCUCUUGAGAGGACAAGAAUCCUUGAAGAGAGGCACCAACAAGAAUUGGAGAAUGAAAGAGCAGCUGCUGCUGAGAGGACUAGAAUUAUUGAAGAGAAGCUCCAAAGACAAUUGGAUAAUGAACGAGAAUGUGUUCUUGUGAGUAUGAGAAUGCUCACAGAGAGGCUCCAAAGGGAGUCCGAAAUUGCCACGAGUGCUACAAACCGAAGCCGGUCCUUGGAGGCAGACAAUGCCAGACUUUAUGAAGAACUGGAAAAUGGAAGAGCAGACAACCAGGCUCUAAUUUCAGAUAUUGUAGAGAAAAGUGAUGAGCUUGCGACACUCAAAUAUCACUGUGACAUGUUUGAGUCAGACAAGAGAGAUCUAGAAAAUCAAGUUGAGGAUCUGAUGAAGGAACUGGAAUAUGCUAAGAAAGAACAUGCAAGAUAUGUCCGUCAGGUCUUGGAUGCAGCAAGGGCGAUUCCUAACAACUUGGAGGCAAUCCACACUGACGCUCAGCACUGAAUUGAGGCUGGCACAUCGGACGUUGCUUGAGCUUCUGCUGAUGUUUCAGAUUAUUUCUUCCUCUGGUUGCAUAGAUUACAGUGAGCAGCGGAUCAAUGGAGGGGCUGAUCGUGUUCAUCCGCACAAGGGUGCUGAUAUUCCCAGAUGAGAAUGAGCUUCUUCAAGAAGUUAUUCCCUGGGGCUGAAGAAUUGAAGAGAGUGAAGGAAGAGUAUACUAGAUUUUUCCACUUGCAUCGGAGAAUUCAAUGACUAUGAUUCCAUCUAUGACAGAUUGAUUCUUGAUCCAUUGAACUGGUCGGUGAAUUAUGGACAAUGUAGUCCCUUGCUGCAUGGUUUGGCUAUCAAAUCUGCGAACCAGCCUGCCUCAUGUUCAUGCUGUGAAAGGAACUGGAGUACAUACAACUUCAUUCACAGCAUGAAAAGAGACCAGUUAAAUCCUGAGCGUGAUGAGGAUUUGGUUUUUGUCCAUAACAAUCUAAGGCUGAUGUCAAGGAAGACACAAGUGUACAAGACUGGGGCAACAAGAAUGAGAUGUGGGAGGAGAUGGCUUUGAUUUUUUUUUUUCUGGAGUUGGAAUUUUGGAAAUUGCUACAUUGGCACUUGAUGAACCAGAGAUGGAGAGUGUAUCAUUUGAGGAGGCUGUGGAAGUUGAAAACGUGGAAGAAGGCAUGCAGAGGUUGAAGAAGUUUAGGAAGUCUUGAGGGAUCAGGAAGUCUGAGGAAGAAGUUAUCUUAUUAGUGUCUUUAUUUUAAUUGGAAUUUUGGCUUGUAAUAUAAUUUAGGCUGCACUUGUGUAUGAUGUGUAUGAUGCGGUGCUACUGCUACUGCUGUACUGUUCAAGUGUCCAUUUGGUCUGUUGCCGUUUGUUGCUUGAAAUCGAGCUUGGAACGUUUUUAUUUGGUUGA
Setaria italica (foxtail millet) is the source of this 2531-nucleotide RNA transcript. RefSeq lists it as uncharacterized. NCBI's taxonomy places the organism in Eukaryota, Viridiplantae, Streptophyta, Magnoliopsida, Poales, Poaceae. The record is from RefSeq and is a predicted model, not a curated record. The transcript has 9 exons.